RNAcentral lists this ribosomal RNA (78 nucleotides) under Staphylococcus aureus. The record is from RNAcentral. Lineage: Bacteria; Bacillati; Bacillota; Bacilli; Caryophanales; Staphylococcaceae.
UGGUGGCUAUAGCAAGGAGGUCACACCUGUUCCCAUGCCGAACACAGAAGUUAAGCUCCUUAGCGUCGAUGGUAGUCG